Long non-coding RNA from Ictalurus punctatus (channel catfish), 406 nucleotides. Lineage: Eukaryota; Metazoa; Chordata; Actinopteri; Siluriformes; Ictaluridae. The record is from Ensembl.
GCGACUUGUAAUUCCCCACCUCCAAGCGGGAAAACGCAAAGCAAACGCACCCUCAACUUGAAAUCGCCAUUCGUCGACAGUGGGAAGUCUUCUCAUCUACCAGUUCCUUCCCUGUUCAUCGAGUGACGUCGAGUCGGCAUGACGGAUUCAGAACUCACAAAGUGGCACUUACCUCGGUGGUUAUUUGCUUUAGAUCAGGGUUGUCCAGUCUUCUCCAGAAUGGGCCAGUGUGGUUGCAGGUUGUCAUUCUAACCAAGCAGAAGCCACACUUUAGUCUAUUGAAAGCCAAGAUCAGCGGAUCCAACAAUUGGAAUCAGGUGUGGCUCCUGCUAGAUUGGAACGAAAAGCUGAAGAUUGGACAACGCUGCUUGAGACCAAUCAGCAUAUAGACAUAUUUGCUUAUUAA